RNAcentral lists this ribosomal RNA (2932 nucleotides) under Citrobacter sp. CF971. Its description in RNAcentral is "23S ribosomal RNA". It matches the Rfam family "Bacterial large subunit ribosomal RNA". The record is from RNAcentral. Lineage: Bacteria; Pseudomonadati; Pseudomonadota; Gammaproteobacteria; Enterobacterales; Enterobacteriaceae.
GGGUUGUGAGGUUAAGCGACUAAGCGUACACGGUGGAUGCCCUGGCAGUCAGAGGCGAUGAAGGACGUGCUAAUCUGCGAUAAGCGUCGGUAAGGUGAUAUGAACCGUUAUAACCGGCGAUUUCCGAAUGGGGAAACCCAGUGUGAUCCGUCACACUAUCAUUACGUGAAUACAUAGCGUAAUGAAGCGAACCGGGGGAACUGAAACAUCUAAGUACCCCGAGGAAAAGAAAUCAACCGAGAUUCCCCCAGUAGCGGCGAGCGAACGGGGAGCAGCCCAGAGUCUGAAUCAGCUUGUGUGUUAGUGGAACGGUCUGGAAAGUCCGACGGUACAGGGUGAUAGUCCCGUACACCAAAAUGCACAGGUUGUGAACUCGAAGAGUAGGGCGGGACACGUGGUAUCCUGUCUGAAUAUGGGGGGACCAUCCUCCAAGGCUAAAUACUCCUGACUGACCGAUAGUGAACCAGUACCGUGAGGGAAAGGCGAAAAGAACCCCGGCGAGGGGAGUGAAAAAGAACCUGAAACCGUGUACGUACAAGCAGUGGGAGCCUCUUUAUGGGGUGACUGCGUACCUUUUGUAUAAUGGGUCAGCGACUUAUAUUCUGUAGCAAGGUUAACCGUAUAGGGGAGCCGAAGGGAAACCGAGUCUUAACUGGGCGUUAAGUUGCAGGGUAUAGACCCGAAACCCGGUGAUCUAGCCAUGGGCAGGUUGAAGGUUGGGUAACACUAACUGGAGGACCGAACCGACUAAUGUUGAAAAAUUAGCGGAUGACUUGUGGCUGGGGGUGAAAGGCCAAUCAAACCGGGAGAUAGCUGGUUCUCCCGAAAGCUAUUUAGGUAGCGCCUCGUGAAUUCAUCUUCGGGGGUAGAGCACUGUUUCGGCUAGGGGGUCAUCCCGACUUACCAACCCGAUGCAAACUGCGAAUACCGAAGAAUGUUAUCACGGGAGACACACGGCGGGUGCUAACGUCCGUCGUGAAGAGGGAAACAACCCAGACCGCCAGCUAAGGUCCCAAAGUCAUGGUUAAGUGGGAAACGAUGUGGGAAGGCACAGACAGCCAGGAUGUUGGCUUAGAAGCAGCCAUCAUUUAAAGAAAGCGUAAUAGCUCACUGGUCGAGUCGGCCUGCGCGGAAGAUGUAACGGGGCUAAACCAUGCACCGAAGCUGCGGCAGCGACACUAUGUGUUGUUGGGUAGGGGAGCGUUCUGUAAGCCGUUGAAGGUGUAUCGUGAGGUAUGCUGGAGGUAUCAGAAGUGCGAAUGCUGACAUAAGUAACGAUAAUGCGGGUGAAAAACCCGCACGCCGGAAGACCAAGGGUUCCUGUCCAACGUUAAUCGGGGCAGGGUGAGUCGACCCCUAAGGCGAGGCCGAAAGGCGUAGUCGAUGGGAAACAGGUUAAUAUUCCUGUACUUGGUGUUACUGCGAAGGGGGGACGGAGAAGGCUAUGUUAGCCGGGCGACGGUUGUCCCGGUUUAAGCAUGUAGGCGGAGGUUCCAGGUAAAUCCGGUACCUUUUUAACGCUGAGGUGUGAUGACGAGGCACUACGGUGCUGAAGUAACAAAUGCCCUGCUUCCAGGAAAAGCCUCUAAGCAUCAGGUAACACGAAAUCGUACCCCAAACCGACACAGGUGGUCAGGUAGAGAAUACCAAGGCGCUUGAGAGAACUCGGGUGAAGGAACUAGGCAAAAUGGUGCCGUAACUUCGGGAGAAGGCACGCUGAUAUGUAGGUGAAGCGGUUUACCCGUGGAGCUGAAAUCAGUCGAAGAUACCAGCUGGCUGCAACUGUUUAUUAAAAACACAGCACUGUGCAAACACGAAAGUGGACGUAUACGGUGUGACGCCUGCCCGGUGCCGGAAGGUUAAUUGAUGGGGUUAUCCGUAAGGAGAAGCUCUUGAUCGAAGCCCCGGUAAACGGCGGCCGUAACUAUAACGGUCCUAAGGUAGCGAAAUUCCUUGUCGGGUAAGUUCCGACCUGCACGAAUGGCGUAAUGAUGGCCAGGCUGUCUCCACCCGAGACUCAGUGAAAUUGAACUCGCUGUGAAGAUGCAGUGUACCCGCGGCAAGACGGAAAGACCCCGUGAACCUUUACUAUAGCUUGACACUGAACACUGGUCCUUGAUGUGUAGGAUAGGUGGGAGGCUUUGAAGUGUGGACGCCAGUCUGCAUGGAGCCAUCCUUGAAAUACCACCCUUUAAUGGCUGGUGUUCUAACGUGGACCCGUUACCCGGGUUGCGGACAGUGUCUGGUGGGUAGUUUGACUGGGGCGGUCUCCUCCUAAAGAGUAACGGAGGAGCACGAAGGUUAGCUAAUCCUGGUCGGACAUCAGGAGGUUAGUGCAAAGGCAUAAGCUAGCUUGACUGCGAGAGUGACGGCUCGAGCAGGUGCGAAAGCAGGUCUUAGUGAUCCGGUGGUUCUGAAUGGAAGGGCCAUCGCUCAACGGAUAAAAGGUACUCCGGGGAUAACAGGCUGAUACCGCCCAAGAGUUCAUAUCGACGGCGGUGUUUGGCACCUCGAUGUCGGCUCAUCACAUCCUGGGGCUGAAGUAGGUCCCAAGGGUAUGGCUGUUCGCCAUUUAAAGUGGUACGCGAGCUGGGUUUAGAACGUCGUGAGACAGUUCGGUCCCUAUCUGCCGUGGGCGCUGGAGAAUUGAGGGGGGCUGCUCCUAGUACGAGAGGACCGGAGUGGACGCAUCACUGGUGUUCGGGUUGUCAUGCCAAUGGCAUUGCCCGGUAGCUAAAUGCGGAAGAGAUAAGUGCUGAAAGCAUCUAAGCACGAAACUUGCCCGAGAUGAGUUCUCCCUGAGACUAUAAGUCUCCUGAAGGAACGUUGAAGACGACGACGUUGAUAGGUCGGGUGUGUAAGUGUAGCGAUACAUUGAGCUAACCGAUACUAAUGAACCGUGAGGCUUAACCUUACAACGCCGAAGGUGUUU